RNAcentral lists this ribosomal RNA (461 nucleotides) under uncultured soil bacterium. RNAcentral's name for it is "bacterial SSU rRNA". It matches the Rfam family "Bacterial small subunit ribosomal RNA", at positions 26 to 518 of the family's 1533-position model. The record is from RNAcentral.
AGGAUAAACGCUGGCGGCGUGCCUAAAACAUGCAAGUCGAACGGACCCUUCAGGGUUAGUGGCGAACGGCUGAGUAACACGUGGGUGACCUGCCUUCGAACGGGGGAUAACUGCCCGAAAGGGUGGCUAAUACCGCAGAUGUCAUUGAUUCGGUUCGGUGACUGAACUUCCGGGGUUCGGAGAGGGGCCUGCGUCCGAUUAGCUAGCUGGUGGGGUAAAGCCUACCAGGGCGACGAUCGGUAGCUGGUCUGAGAGGAUGAUCAGCCAGACUGGGACUGCGAGACGGCCCAGACUCCUACGGGAGGCAGCAGUUAGGAAUUUUGGGCAAUGGGCGAAAGCCUGACCCAGCAACGCCGCGUGGGCGAAGAAGGCCUUCGGGUCGUAAAGCCCGUUUUCCGAGGGGAAGAUAAUGACGGUACCCUGGGAAUCGAGCCCCGGCUAACUACGUACCAGCCAGCCGC